Molecule: ribosomal RNA, 508 nt
Filed under: Helocassis clavata
Lineage: Eukaryota; Metazoa; Arthropoda; Insecta; Coleoptera; Chrysomelidae
Description: partial 16S ribosomal RNA
Rfam family: Bacterial large subunit ribosomal RNA
Source: RNAcentral
GUCUUCUUGAAAAUAAUUUGAAGUCUAACCUGCUCUAUGAAGUUUAAAUGGCCGCAGUAUAUUGACUGUGCUAAGGUAGCAUAAUAAAUAGUUUCUUAAUUAGAAGCUUGAAUGAAUGGUUUGAUGAGAAAAUUUCUUUUUUUUAAUUAUUGUAUUGAAUUUUAUUUUUAAGUAAAAAAGCUUAAAUUUGUUUAGGGGACGAGAAGACCCUAUAGAAUUUUAUAAAAGUUAAUAUUAAUAUUGUUUAGAAUUUAUUUUUUAAUAAAGACUUUUAUUUAGUUGGGGUGACUAAAAAAUUAAAAUAACUUUUUUUAUAAAAUUUACAUUGUUAUUGGUUGUUUGAUCCACUAUUAUGUGAUUAAAAGAAUAAAUUACCUUAGGGAUAACAGCGUUAUAAUUUUUUAGAGUUCAUAUUAAAAAAAUUUAUUGCGACCUCGAUGUUGGAUUAGAAAAUCUUUUAGGUGCAGAAGCUUAAAAAGAAGGUCUGUUCGACCUUUAAAUUUCUACA